Notechis scutatus (mainland tiger snake) is the source of this 339-nucleotide long non-coding RNA. RefSeq lists it as uncharacterized. The record is from RefSeq and is a predicted model, not a curated record. NCBI's taxonomy places the organism in Eukaryota, Metazoa, Chordata, Lepidosauria, Squamata, Elapidae.
GACCGGACCGGCUGGGGGCAGCGCUAGGGACGGCGGCUUUGCAAUAAGCCUUCCCCCGGUUCGGUCGGAGAGCCGAGCCUAGCCAGCCGGAAUGCGCCACACAUCGGAGACAAAGAAAAUGGCUUUCUCCAGAUAAGUCUUGUGGGGAUCCAGUAGCCUUGCAGCCUGGAGAAGUGCGGAACUCCAAAGAAGGAAGAAUGUGCCAAGAAUUGCCAAAGAAAAAAGAAAGAAAGGGAAACCAUUGGCUUUCCAAAUCUCAGCUGAAUCUGGAUAUACCACUCUGCCACAGUGACUUGUUCCUCUAUUCUUUUUUCUUAGGGCAUUUAGCCAUUCAAAGCC